GAGAUUAUCAAUCCACACGCAACCACUGCACCGUGUUGAAAUCCAUUCGAUGUGCACGGAGCCGAAAAUCAUUGUGCCAUCCAACACAGAUGUCUAGCCGUGUCAGUACCGGCCGAUGUCUCUCCUCCUCGAACCACCGCAGCCAGUGGCGUACCUAUGUUUGUUUGAGGGCGGGUGGCAUGAACUCUGACUCAAUCCGGGUAUUCAAUCCCGCCACUAAGAUGCUCAGUUGACUCCUUAACCUUGAUAAGAACAUGGCUUAUUCAAUAAUUUGCGUAUAAGGAUAAGGAACUUUGGAUCUCGCCUAGGAACAUGAUGUUUUAGUAUGCGUCCUUGGAUCAGCCUUUAGCCAUUGGCGUUCAUUUUAUGUGCAUGUAGUCCACCGAUGCAACCACGACAGAGGCUCCGACCAACGUCACCAAGACCAAAUGUGGGCGCCACUUGUGAAUCCAUGAUAUGACUUCUUCACGGAGGAUUGCGUUGUGAUGGUUGAGAGGGAAAAGGAAAAAUAAAAUAAAAAAUCUGAGAAAAAAAAUUGUAGUUUGUCACACGUGCCUUUUUCUGUUAUUUUAAUUUUUAUUUAAAAUUUUUGAUUGGUUAGAUUUAGUAAGUUGGACGUUUAAGAUUUCGUGUAACACAUGAUAUAAACAGAUCUUAUCCCUAUUAAAAUUCGGAACAAAAAACUCAAAAAAUGGAACAGGAGCAAUGCCAUUUUGCUUCAACCCCAUUAUCAUGUUUUUUUUUAUAAGCAAAAGGAAAUUUCAUUGAGAUACUCAUUAUCAUGCUAGUUACUAAUAAGUUUUUCAGAA
Molecule: long non-coding RNA, 809 nt
Filed under: Glycine max (soybean)
Lineage: Eukaryota; Viridiplantae; Streptophyta; Magnoliopsida; Fabales; Fabaceae
Description: long non-coding RNA (GMAX_LNC003661)
Source: RNAcentral